AAAAAAUAAAAAUAAAUAAAAAAAAAAUAAAAAAAUAAAAAAUGUUUUAUACUUUUAUAAGCAAAAAAAUAAUACUCCCAAUGUAAGUAACACAUUUGUUUCUAAUUUUAACAAAAAGCACUUUUUUAUAAGACCCAAAUGUCUAAAAAUUAUGAAUAAUAAUAUAUAUGGUGAUUUUAAUAAAGUGAGUAAAAAAAAUGUAAGUCAAUUAAUACAUGGGAAUACGAUAAAACACGAUAACAUACGUGAAGACACAGACGAAGAUAGUAUUGACAAAGUUAGUAUUGACAAAGUUAGUAUUGACAAAGUUAGUAUUGACGAAGUUAGUAUUGACAAAGUUAGUAUUGACGAAGUUAGUAUUGAAAAAGUUACUAAUAAAACUAAUAUUAUAAACAAUUAUGGUGAUAAUAGUGAUGGUAUAGGUAGUGAUAAUGGUAAUGCUUGCGUAAAGGAUGAAAAAACAGUAGAUAAGUACGAACUAGUGAACGAACAUAUACUGAUAGAAAAGGGUAGUAAAAGCAUAAAAGAGUUGAUGGAAGAACGUAUAUGGGUGUUUCCUGAAGAAAACAUAAAAAUGAUAAGAGAAAGAACAGAACAAAAAUUAAAUUGGAAUUAUAUUUUAAAAAAAAAUAAUCCUUUAUUAAUUGAUAACGUUAAUAAAAUAUAUGAAGGAAUAUAUAAAACAAAUAAUAUAGAUGAUAUAUAUUUUUAUUUUGAUACUUAUCCAUAUAAUUAUUUAAAUGUUACUAUGAGUGUUUUUUCACUUUAUAAAAUUGCUACUAGUUUUUUAAAAGAACAAAAAUGGAAAAAUAAAAGUGAAAGAGAAAAAUAUUUUUUUAUAAAUGAACAAAACGAUGAGAAUGAGAAAAGUUUAUCAGUACAUAAUAAUCAGUUACUUACUAACAAAAUAAUUAACGAAGGAAUUAACAACAACAACAACAACAACAAUAACACAAAUGAAAUGAAUAAUAUGUUUAUUGUUGAUAAUACAGACCAUGAAAUAAACAACACACAUUUGUUUAAAAUUAAAGAAGAAAGAAAAAGACUUAGUUAUAUUAUUAAUAAUCGAAAUUUUAAAAGAAUAAUCGGUUCUAUUUAUAAGCAUUUAAAAAUUAUUUAUAAAACAUUUACAACUAAUGAUAAAUUAACAACUUAUGAAAAAAAAUAAAAACAUAUAUAAUUAUAUUCCAUAUAUUAAUAUAAUAGAUAUUAUUACUAUUUUAAAAUCUUUUUAUAUUUUAAAAUAUGAUCAUACAGAUAUAUAUAAAUAUAUAUAUUUUUUUAUUGUUUUUUUUAUUAAUAAAUUUAAUAUUGAAUAUUUAACUGAGGUUGUU
Molecule: long non-coding RNA, 1334 nt
Filed under: Piliocolobus tephrosceles (Ugandan red Colobus)
Lineage: Eukaryota; Metazoa; Chordata; Mammalia; Primates; Cercopithecidae
Description: lncRNA (ENSPTEG00000018496.1)
Source: RNAcentral